GGGGGCGACUGGCUUCGACGGGUCGCGUGAUGUUGUCGUGGCGUGUCCAGGUUCUCGGUGUCCUGGUUAAACCCGCCGGGAAACACUCAAUUGCCAAUACUGAUCUGGCAUUGGCUGCUUAAGCUUUAGGGCUUAACGCACCUGCUCACGUUGCAGCCCGCCUGAGGCGGCGCGUGAGUAUCGCAAAUUCGGGCUGCUGCCGCACGUUGCUUCCGAGUGUGGCUCAAGCUUCAGGGAGCUUGUUCGGCGGCUUGGCCGGUCGUGCGCCGUCCGCCGGAGACCUCAAGCGCGACCUACGCACGUAGAGCGGCUUCGGAUCGAGGUUCGGACCGGGGUUCGAUUCCCCGCGCCUCCAU
Molecule: transfer-messenger RNA, 356 nt
Filed under: Gemmatimonadota bacterium
Lineage: Bacteria; Pseudomonadati; Gemmatimonadota
Description: Gemmatimonadetes bacterium transfer-messenger RNA
Rfam family: transfer-messenger RNA
About the family: Bacterial tmRNA, also known as 10Sa RNA or SsrA, is named for its dual tRNA and mRNA-like properties. Its role is to liberate the mRNA from a stalled ribosome. To accomplish this part of the tmRNA is used as a reading frame that ends in a translation stop signal.
Source: RNAcentral